AUCAUACCAAUCCACUUUCAGUGGUUAUAUUAGUCCUCAAAGGUGGCAUGCUUCUGCCAUGCAGGCACAGGGUAGUUGUCCCGCUCUGUGCCUGGCUAAUUUGUGGGCGAAAAACGGCUUUGUUGGCCUCUAAGUCUCCCUGAGCAGUUGUAUGCUUCUUUGUCCGUGGCUGUGAUGAAGGGAAACGGUACGUGGUUUUCGUAAUCGCGAGAGUUAAUGAGCACUAGCUUUGGUGCCGCCAACACAAAACCCCAAUUUUACAAAUUUUUCAAGAGAAUAUUUUUAGUCUUAUCGGUGGAUCACUCGGCUCGUAGAUCGAUGAAGAACGCAGCCAACUGCGAUAAUUAGUGCGAACUGCAGAUAUUUUGAGCACUAAAGUUUCGAAUGCACAUUGCGCCAUUGGAUUUUAUCCUUUGGCACGUCUGAUUCAGGGUCGUAAAUACAAAACCCCAAGCUAAUGGUGGUGAUAUGACCUGUGCGGACCGCUGUCUCUUUGGCCUAGCACGUGUUUCUUGUGCAGCCUCUUGGCCAAUUUUGACAGCGCUCCCACUCGAGAUAAUGCUGUCCAGUGUUUGGUGACAUUGCUGUAAGUCCUAGCGAUUCUUAUGGACGUAAGGCUUUGAAGCCAAACGCAGAGUAGUCGAUUUUUCGACCUGAAUCUGACGUGAUUACCCGCUGAACUUAAGCAUAUCAGUAAGCGGAGGAAAAGAAACUAACAAGGAUUC
This 725-nucleotide ribosomal RNA is filed under the name Ditylenchus destructor. RNAcentral describes it as "eukaryotic LSU rRNA". The stretch from base 284 to 436 matches the Rfam family "5.8S ribosomal RNA". Lineage: Eukaryota; Metazoa; Nematoda; Chromadorea; Rhabditida; Anguinidae. The record is from RNAcentral.